CAGAGGGUAGUUUAAGUAAAACUUUAGCUUUGGGAGCUAAGAAUUGAGAGCCGCUCUUACCCUUUGA
Molecule: transfer RNA, 67 nt
Filed under: Nipponacmea fuscoviridis
Lineage: Eukaryota; Metazoa; Mollusca; Gastropoda; Lottiidae
Description: tRNA-Pro
Rfam family: tRNA
About the family: Transfer RNA (tRNA) molecules are approximately 80 nucleotides in length. Their secondary structure includes four short double-helical elements and three loops (D, anti-codon, and T loops).
Source: RNAcentral